Triticum aestivum (bread wheat) is the source of this 86-nucleotide non-coding RNA. The record is from Rfam. NCBI's taxonomy places the organism in Eukaryota, Viridiplantae, Streptophyta, Magnoliopsida, Poales, Poaceae.
UCUCCAUGAUGGUGAACGCAGAUGAAGAGUCCAUGCAAUCCAUUGUAUUAAACCGGGUGGACAAUCGAGACAUUUGUGUGAGAGAG